UGCCCAGCAACUCCUAUCCCUACCUCCACGCGGUACCGGCAGGGAACUAUGAGCAACCUUAGGGAAGAUCGGGUAACCAACCCCGGUGGGAACUUUGAUCGUAGGCUGACAGGGAAGG
This is a non-coding RNA of Aedes albopictus (Asian tiger mosquito), 118 nucleotides long. The record is from Rfam. Lineage: Eukaryota; Metazoa; Arthropoda; Insecta; Diptera; Culicidae.